ACAGCCAAGCUUCCCCGAUGAUCUAGUCCUGGCCGAGGUACAACACCCAGCCAAGCUUCCACUAUGAUCUAGUCCUGGCUGAGGUACAACACACAGCCAAGCUUCCCCUGUGAUCUAGUCCUGGCCGAGGUACAACACACAGCCAAGCUUCCCCUAUGAUCUAGUCCUGGCCGAGGUACAACACACAGCCAAGCUUCCCCUGUGAUCGAGUCCUGGCCGAGGUACAACACACAACCAAGCUUCCCCUAUGAUCUAGUCCUGGCUGAGGUACAACACACAGCCAAGCUUCCCCUGUGAUCUAGUCCUGGCUGAGCCGUGACAUAUGACACAUUCCCAACACAUGUGGUGACAUCCUGAGGUUGAAACAGAGCUCUGUGGAUGAUUCAGAAGGCAAAUCAUCCCUUUCUUCCUCCGAAAGGGAUGAAUCCGUCAGAAGCUGGCUGUAAAUAAAACAGGAGAACAUCUGCACCUCAGACCUCUGUCAGAUUAUACACCAUCUCCGACCUCUGUUAGAUUGUACACCAUCUCAGACCUCUGUUAGAUUACACACCAUCUCAGACCUCUGUUAGAUUAUACACCAUCUCAGACCUCUGUUAGAUUACACACCAUCUCAGACCUCUGUUAGAUUAUACACCAUCUCAGACCUCUGUUAGAUUAUACACCAUCUCAGACCUCUGUUAGAUUAUACACCAUCUCAGACCUCUGUUAGAUUAUACACCAUCUCAGACGUCUGUUAGAUUAUACACCAACUCAGACCUCUGUUAGAUUAUACACCAUCUCAGACCUCUUUUAGAUUAUACACCAACUCAGACCUCUAUUAGAUUAUACACCAACUCAGACCUCUGUUAGAUUACACACCAUCUCAGACCUCUGUUAGAUUAUAUACCAACUCCGACUCAUACACCAACUCAGACCUCUGUUAUAUUAUACACCAUCUCAGACCUCUGUUAGAUUAUACACCAUCUCAGACCUCUGUUAGAUUAUAUACCAACUCCGACUCAUACACCAACUCAGACCUCUGUUAGAUUAUACACCAUCUCAGACCUCUGUUAGAUUAUACACCAUCUCAGACCUCUGUUAGAUUAUACACCAUCUCAGACCUCUGUUAGACUGUACACACCAUCUCAGACCUCUGUUAGAUUAUACACCAUCUCAGACCUCUGUUAGACUGUACACACCAUCUCAGACCUCUGUUAGAUUAUACACCAUCUCAGACCUCUGUUAGAUUAUACAUCAACUCAGACCUCUGUUAGAUUAUUAUGCACCAACUCAGACCUCUGUUAGAUUAUACACCAACUCAGACCUCUGUUAGAUUAUACACCAUCUCAGACCUCUGUUAGAUUAUACACCAUCUCAGACCUCUGUUAGAUUAUACACCAUCUCAGACCUCUGUUAGAUUAUUAUGCACCAACUCAGACCUCUGUUAGAUUAUACACCAACUCAGACCUCUGUUAGAUUAUACACCAUCUCAGACCUCUGUUAGAUUAUACACCAUCUCAGACCUCUGUUAGAUUAUACACCAUCUCAGACCUCUGUUAGAUUAUACACCAACUCAGACCUGUGUUAGAUUAUUAAACACCAACUCAUAUUGUACAUACCAGUCGUAUAUAUUUGUGUCCCAAAUGGCACCCUAUUCCCUAUUUAGUGACCAGGGCCCAUAGGGGAUCUGGACAAAGGUAGUGCACUACAUAGGGAAUAGAAUGCUCUUAGGGUUGCAUGCUAUAUUCCUUUAGGGCUGAGUGGGGUGAAAACACAUGGGGUUUGUUGGAAUAACUCAAUAUUGGGUGUAAGGUAUCGGUUAUUAACACACACACACACACACACACACACACACACACACACACACACACACACAUUGACAUUCCUCCCAGCCAUAACAUCCCAGCCCGUAGUUUCCUAGGCGCUGCCUGUCCUCUCUGC
Molecule: long non-coding RNA, 1920 nt
Organism: Oncorhynchus mykiss (rainbow trout)
Lineage: Eukaryota; Metazoa; Chordata; Actinopteri; Salmoniformes; Salmonidae
Source: Ensembl